UAGUGGCGAACGGGUGAGUAACACGUGGGCAAUCUGCCCUUCACUCUGGGACAAGCCCUGGAAACGGGGUCUAAUACCGGAUACCACUCUCGCAGGCAUCUGUGAGGGUUGAAAGCUCCGGCGGUGAAGGAUGAGCCCGCGGCCUAUCAGCUUGUUGGUGAGGUAAUGGCUCACCAAGGCGACGACGGGUAGCCGGCCUGAGAGGGCGACCGGCCACACUGGGACUGAGACACGGCCCAGACUCCUACGGGAGGCAGCAGUGGGGAAUAUUGCACAAUGGGCGAAAGCCUGAUGCAGCGACGCCGCGUGAGGGAUGACGGCCUUCGGGUUGUAAACCUCUUUCAGCAGGGAAGAAGCGAAAGUGACGGUACCUGCAGAAGAAGCGCCGG
Molecule: ribosomal RNA, 389 nt
Filed under: bacterium M3A-306-16S
Lineage: Bacteria
Description: bacterial SSU rRNA
Rfam family: Bacterial small subunit ribosomal RNA
Source: RNAcentral